This 210-nucleotide long non-coding RNA is filed under the name Capsella rubella. RNAcentral describes it as "long non-coding RNA (CRUB_LNC000947)". The record is from RNAcentral. Lineage: Eukaryota; Viridiplantae; Streptophyta; Magnoliopsida; Brassicales; Brassicaceae.
UGGGGGCCAAAUUUGGUCGGAGGCGGUACAGACUUAGCUGGGAACCCAGCUAGGGUGUUCCAGCACGAGGAACUCAUAGUCGAGAUGAUCACUUGACGAAUUUUUAGCACAUGUUCUGGAGCGGUUACCAGGUGCGGUUUUAGUGUAGGCUCCAGUGGGACCACCAGGGGUUGCGAGUUUGCAACCGAAUGGUUAGACCAGCUUGGAGAC